CCCUAUGGGGCGCGGCAUGAGACGCUUGAUCGGCUUGAUUCUGCUUCUGGCUUGUGUCGGGUGCUUCCAACAAGCCGAAGCCGCCUCAAAAAUCUUCAAUUCCGCCACUGGAAUGAUUGACGCUGAGAUCAGUUCAGACCAUGCCGAUAACGUAAUGAAUCUCGGAGUUAAUACGACACUCCGCAUGGGUGAAGACAUCAACAAACUAUUCUUCGGCGAUUACUCAAUGGAUGAUACGUUGACGGCCCUUGGGACGAUUACCGUCGCUUCGACCUAUGUCAUCUACAUGACUGGCGGGAAUACGGACACUACGGCUGAUACGUCAUACCUAUAUCUCUCUGGUAUUGCCGACAAGCGGGAUUGGUUGGAAACCCAGGUGACGCACAAUAGUUACAAGACGGGAGCGGCGUGGACUGCGGCGGGAGGGC
RNAcentral lists this ribosomal RNA (428 nucleotides) under uncultured prokaryote. RNAcentral's name for it is "partial 16S ribosomal RNA". The record is from RNAcentral.